UGGGGAAUAUUGGACAAUGGGCGCAAGCCUGAUCCAGCAAUGCCGCGUGAGUGAAGAAGGUCUUCGGAUUGUAAAGCUCUUUUGGCGGGGACGAUGAUGACGGUACCCGCAGAAUAAGCCCCGGCUAACUUCGUGCCAGCAGCCGCGGUAAUACGAAGGGGGCUAGCGUUGCUCGGAAUGACUGGGCGUAAAGGGCGCGUAGGCGGAUUGUACAGUCAGACGUGAAAUUCCUGGGCUCAACCUGGGGGCUGCGUUUGAUACGUAUAGUCUUGAGUGAGGAAGAGGGUCGUGGAAUUCCCAGUGUAGAGGUGAAAUUCGUAGAUAUUGGGAAGAACACCGGUGGCGAAGGCGGCGACCUGGUCCUUUACUGACGCUGAGGCGCGAAAGCGUGGGGAGCAAACAGG
Molecule: ribosomal RNA, 404 nt
Filed under: uncultured bacterium
Lineage: Bacteria
Description: bacterial SSU rRNA
Rfam family: Bacterial small subunit ribosomal RNA
Source: RNAcentral